GAUGAAGAACGUAGCGAAAUGCGAUACGUAAUGUGAAUUGCAGAAUUCAGUGAAUCAUCGAAUCUUUGAACGCACAUUGCGCCCCCUGGUAUUCCGGGGGGCAUGCCUGUCCGAGCGUCAUUGCAACCUUCAAGCGCGGCUUGUGUGUUGGGUCUCGUCCCCCGUGGACGGGCCCGAAAGGCAGUGGCGGCGUCCCGACAUGGUGCCCGAGCGUAUGGGAAUCCUCUUCCGCUCGAAUCGGCCCAUGCGGCGCUGGUCGUAACCAAAUUUUUUACCGGUUGACCUCGGAUCAGGUAGGGAUACCCGCUGAACUUAAGCAUAUCAAUAAGCGGAGGA
RNAcentral lists this unclassified non-coding RNA (336 nucleotides) under soil metagenome. RNAcentral describes it as "partial contains 5.8S ribosomal RNA, internal transcribed spacer 2, and large subunit ribosomal RNA". The stretch from base 1 to 120 matches the Rfam family "5.8S ribosomal RNA", at positions 35 to 154 of the family's 154-position model. The record is from RNAcentral.